RNAcentral lists this ribosomal RNA (433 nucleotides) under uncultured bacterium. Its description in RNAcentral is "partial 16S ribosomal RNA". It matches the Rfam family "Bacterial small subunit ribosomal RNA", at positions 29 to 507 of the family's 1533-position model. The record is from RNAcentral.
AACGAACGCUGGCGGCAUGCCUAAUACAUGCAAGUCGAACGAGAUCUUCGGAUCUAGUGGCGCACGGGUGCGUAACGCGUGGGAAUCUGCCCUUGGGUUCGGAAUAACUUCUGGAAACGGAAGCUAAUACCGGAUGAUGACGUAAGUCCAAAGAUUUAUCGCCCAAGGAUGAGCCCGCGUAGGAUUAGCUAGUUGGUGGGGUAAAGGCCCACCAAGGCGACGAUCCUUAGCUGGUCUGAGAGGAUGAUCAGCCACACUGGGACUGAGACACGGCCCAGACUCCUACGGGAGGCAGCAGUAGGGAAUAUUGGACAAUGGGGGAAACCCUGAUCCAGCAAUGCCGCGUGAGUGAUGAAGGCCUUAGGGUUGUAAAGCUCUUUUAACCGGGAUGAUAAUGACAGUACCGGGAGAAUAAGCUCCGGCUAACUCCGUG